AUAGAAUGAGAUCAUAUCACUAAUCGUUGUAAUAUCAAGUCUACAGAAACUUCUUGUUAUAACGGUAUGGUGUAACGUUUUACCGCUCGUUUUCAAAUCGCCCCUAAGCAUCGGCAUAUUCCGGUUAACUCCGAUACGAACGUAUUUACAUUCCCCCCCUCGUUCCUACGGCUGAAGGUACCGGAGGAAGUAAAUGUGCGUGUAGUUGGGUCGUUUGACCGCUAGAGGCGGUAAUACAUAAAUCGUGCAGUUUGCUGAAUUUGUUGAUUGGUGACCUUUCUAUUCAUUAUUCGUCUUUGAUUCGCACAGCGAGUAAGUUCUUUCUAAGGGUUAAAUUUUGUGAAAAGAAAAAACAUGUACGCGAUUCAAAACACAGUUAGGAAAGUACCGAGAUUACUAAAUGUAUGUCAGAAUCAACGUAGAACACUUCUUGCUACACCACCAAGGGUUAGAGUACCUUUUGCCGAAAAAGUGGCAUUUGGUAUAGCUAUAUGGAUCGGAGUAAUGGGGGUUCCGCUGUACAUUUCGUGUAAUGUAAAUAAAUAUAACGCUCAAAAGAGGGGAUAGACGAUCUUUUGUAGCUGUAUUCUCAAAUUUGUAAAGUAAAUAACUAUUACAAAAAGUAGGAGAAUGUGUAUCAUAUACUUGAAAUAAAUAUGAAAUUAGAUAAAGUA
Long non-coding RNA from Bombus huntii, 674 nucleotides. RefSeq lists it as uncharacterized. The record is from RefSeq and is a predicted model, not a curated record. Lineage: Eukaryota; Metazoa; Arthropoda; Insecta; Hymenoptera; Apidae. The transcript is spliced from 2 exons.